AGGUAAGCUACUAAGAGCGAAUGGUGGAUGCCUUGACUGGUAAAGGCGAUGAAGGACGUACUAGACUGCGAUAAGCUACGGGGAGCUGUCAAGAAGCUUUGAUCCGUAGAUUUCCGAAUGGGGCAACCCAAUGUAUAGAGAUAUACAUUACCUAUAUAGGAGCGAACGAGGGGAAUUGAAACAUCUUAGUACCCUCAGGAAAAGAAAUCAAUAGAGAUUGCGUCAGUAGCGGCGAGCGAAAGCGCAAGAGGGCAAACCCAGUGCUUGCACUGGGGGUUGUAGGACUGCAAUGUGCAAGAGGUAAGUUUAGCAGAACAUUCUGGAAAGUAUAACCAUAGAGGGUGAUAGUCCCGUAUGCGAAAAACAAACCUUAGCUAGCAGUAUCCUGAGUAGGGCGGGACACGAGGAAUCCUGUCUGAAUCCGGGUCGACCACGAUCCAACCCUAAAUACUAAUACCAGAUCGAUAGUGCACAAGUACCGUGAGGGAAAGGUGAAAAGAACUGAGGUGAUCAGAGUGAAAUAGAACCUGAAACCAUUUGCUUACAAUCAUUCAGAGCCCUAUGUAGCAAUACAGGGUGAUGGACUGCCUUUUGCAUAAUGAGCCUGCGAGUUGUGGUGUCUGGCAAGGUUAAGCAAACGCGAAGCCGUAGCGAAAGCGAGUCUGAAUAGGGCGCUUAGUCAGAUGCUGCAGACCCGAAACGAAGUGAUCUAUCCAUGAGCAAGUUGAAGCUAGUGUAAGAACUAGUGGAGGACUGAACCCAUAGGCGUUGAAAAGCCCCGGGAUGACUUGUGGAUAGGGGUGAAAGGCCAAUCAAACUUCGUGAUAGCUGGUUCUCUCCGAAAUAUAUUUAGGUAUAGCGUUGUGUCGUAAUAUAAGGGGGUAGAGCACUGAAUGGGCUAGGGCAUACACCAAUGUACCAAACCCUAUCAAACUCCGAAUACCUUAUAUGUAAUCACAGCAGUCAGGCGGCGAGUGAUAAAAUCCGUCGUCAAGAGGGAAACAACCCAGACUACCAGCUAAGGUCCCUAAAUCUUACUUAAGUGGAAAACGAUGUGAAGUUACUUAAACAACCAGGAGGUUGGCUUAGAAGCAGCCAUCCUUUAAAGAAAGCGUAAUAGCUCACUGGUCUAGUGAUUUUGCGCGGAAAAUAUAACGGGGCUAAAGUAAGUACCGAAGCUGUAGACUUAGUUUACUAAGUGGUAGGAGAGCGUUCUAUUUGCGUCGAAGGUAUACCGGUAAGGAGUGCUGGAGCGAAUAGAAGUGAGCAUGCAGGCAUGAGUAGCGAUAAUUAAUGUGAGAAUCAUUAACGCCGUAAACCCAAGGUUUCCUACGCGAUGCUCGUCAUCGUAGGGUUAGUCGGGUCCUAAGUCGAGUCCGAAAGGGGUAGACGAUGGCAAAUUGGUUAAUAUUCCAAUACCAACAUUAGUGUGCGAUGGAAGGACGCUUAGGGCUAAGGGGGCUAGCGGAUGGAAGUGCUAGUCUAAGGUCGUAGGAGGUUGUACAGGCAAAUCCGUAUAACAAUACUCCGAGAACUGAAAGGCUUUUUGAAGUCUUCGGAUGGAUAGAAGAACCCCUGAUGCCGUCGAGCCAAGAAAAGUUUCUAAGUUUAGCUAAUGUUGCCCGUACCGUAAACCGACACAGGUGGGUGGGAUGAGUAUUCUAAGGCGCGUGGAAGAACUCUCUUUAAGGAACUCUGCAAAAUAGCACCGUAUCUUCGGUAUAAGGUGUGGUUAGCUUUGUAUUAGGAUUUACUCCGAAAGCAAGGAAACUUACAACAAAGAGUCCCUCCCGACUGUUUACCAAAAACACAGCACUCUGCUAACUCGUAAGAGGAUGUAUAGGGUGUGACGCCUGCCCGGUGCUCGAAGGUU
RNAcentral lists this ribosomal RNA (1873 nucleotides) under Campylobacter jejuni. RNAcentral describes it as "partial 23S ribosomal RNA". It matches the Rfam family "Bacterial large subunit ribosomal RNA", at positions 1 to 1878 of the family's 2925-position model. Lineage: Bacteria; Pseudomonadati; Campylobacterota; Epsilonproteobacteria; Campylobacterales; Campylobacteraceae. The record is from RNAcentral.